Molecule: ribosomal RNA, 471 nt
Filed under: Triticum aestivum (bread wheat)
Lineage: Eukaryota; Viridiplantae; Streptophyta; Magnoliopsida; Poales; Poaceae
Description: partial small subunit ribosomal RNA
Source: RNAcentral
AUGAAGCAGCAGCUGCUGCUGCGCCCGCAGACGCGGAGUCACCUAGCUCUGUCCUGCAGCUACAGUAGCAAGGUGUGGCUCGUCGGCGACGCGCUAACGGGCCAGGAGCAGGAGAGGGCCGAGCCGGGCGCCCACUUCGUGCCAUACUCCCAGUUCCCUCCCAGCGGCGACGCCCGCGCCGACUGCGUCUACCACAGCACGCCGGCGCUCAUGGUGCCGGAAUCCUACGAGAACCUCCACGCCUGCGGGAACUGGCUGCCGAGGAGGGUGAUGAACGCGUGGCGGGCGGCGGGGAUCGUGCAUGCGCUGGAGAAGCGGGGCGGGCACGAGCGCGGCGACGCGGUCACCGACGUAGACAACGCGCGGCGCGCCGCCCUGGCGCACGGCUUCCGGCCCUACGACGUCCACUACGCAGGACGCAAGCUGCUGCCGCCGACGCGAAGCUGCAGGCAACUCGUAGAUGCCAAGUAA